GGAUAUGAGGGUAAUCUGGCUGUGACAUCUGUCACCCCAUUGAUGGCCAGGGUUGAUUGGCUGAUCUGGCUGGCUAAGGUGUGUCCCCUUCCUCCCUCACCGCUCCGUGUAUGCCCCUGCCAAAGCUGUGCGCUGGGUCGAAGAAGAUGACCACCCCUGAUAGAGGAGGACCGUUUCCUCGGUCAAGGGUAUACAAGUAGCUAGGCUCCCUUGCUAGAACCUCCAAACAAGCUCUCAAGAAUAAAGUGCUUGACACAUCCUAGGUGGAAGUCCAUGACCACCACAUUCUUCUCAAUGAA
Molecule: small nuclear RNA, 299 nt
Filed under: Heterocephalus glaber (naked mole-rat)
Lineage: Eukaryota; Metazoa; Chordata; Mammalia; Rodentia; Bathyergidae
Description: 7SK RNA
Rfam family: 7SK RNA
About the family: 7SK was discovered as an abundant small nuclear RNA in the mid-70s but a possible function has only recently been suggested. Two independent studies have found that 7SK RNA binds the CDK9/cyclin T complex (known as elongation factor P-TEFb). P-TEFb activates transcription by phosphorylating the C-terminal domain of RNA polymerase II.
Source: Rfam by way of RNAcentral